AUUGAACGCUGGCGGCAGGCCUAACACAUGCAAGUCGAAUGGUAACAGGAAACAGCUUGCUGUUUCGCUGACGAGUGGCGGACGGGUGAGUAAUGUCUGGGAAACUGCCUGAUGGAGGGGGAUAACUACUGGAAACGGUAGCUAAUACCGCAUAACGUCGCAAGACCAAAGAGGGGGACCUUCGGGCCUCUUGCCAUCAGAUGUGCCCAGAUGGGAUUAGCUAGUAGGUGGGGUAACGGCUCACCUAGGCGACGAUCCCUAGCUGGUCUGAGAGGAUGACCAGCCACACUGGAACUGAGACACGGUCCAGACUCCUACGGGAGGCAGCAGUGGGGAAUAUUGCACAAUGGGCGCAAGCCUGAUGCAGCCAUGCCGCGUGUAUGAAGAAGGCCUUCGGGUUGUAAAGUACUUUCAGCGGGGAGGAAGGGAGUAAAGUUAAUACCUUUGCUCAUUGACGUUACCCGCAGAAGAAGCGCCGGCUAACUCCGUG
This 490-nucleotide ribosomal RNA is filed under the name uncultured bacterium. RNAcentral describes it as "partial 16S ribosomal RNA". It matches the Rfam family "Bacterial small subunit ribosomal RNA", at positions 30 to 507 of the family's 1533-position model. The record is from RNAcentral.